Molecule: ribosomal RNA, 434 nt
Filed under: uncultured bacterium
Lineage: Bacteria
Description: partial 16S ribosomal RNA
Rfam family: Bacterial small subunit ribosomal RNA
Source: RNAcentral
AGCGAACGCUGGCGGCAGGCCUAACACAUGCAAGUCGAACGAACCUUUCGGGGUUAGUGGCGGACGGGUGAGUAACACGUGGGAACGUGCCUUUAGGUUCGGAAUAACUCAGGGACACUUGUGCUAAUACCGAAUGUGCCCUUCGGGGGAAAGAUUUAUCGCCUUUAGAGCGGCCCGCGUCUGAUUAGCUAGUUGGUUGAGGUAAUGGCUCACCAAGGCGACGAUCAGUAGCUGGUCUGAGAGGAUGAUCAGCCACAUUGGGACUGAGACACGGCCCAAACUCCUACGGGAGGCAGCAGUGGGGAAUCUUGCGCAAUGGGCGAAAGCCUGACGCAGCCAUGCCGCGUGAAUGAUGAAGGUCUUAGGAUUGUAAAAUUCUUUCACCGGGGACGAUAAUGACGGUACCCGGAGAAGAAGCCCCGGCUAACUUCGUG